Molecule: ribosomal RNA, 375 nt
Filed under: uncultured organism
Description: partial 16S ribosomal RNA
Rfam family: Bacterial small subunit ribosomal RNA
Source: RNAcentral
GGGGGGGGGGGCAAGCGUUGUUCCGGAAUUACUGGGCGUAAAGGGCGCGUAGGCGGUCCCGCAAGUCCUCCGUGAAAUCCCACAGCUCAACUGUGGAAUUGCGAGGGAAACUGCAGGACUUGAGUUCGGGAGAGGAGAGUGGAAUUCCCAGUGUAGCGGUGAAAUGCGUAGAUAUUGGGAGGAACACCGGUGGCGAAGGCGGCUCUCUGGACCGACACUGACGCUGAGGCGCGAAAGCUAGGGGAGCAAACGGGAUUGGAUACCCCGGUAGUCCUAGCCCUAAACGAUGAGCACUUGGUGUGGCGGGUAUCGACCCCUGCCGUGCCGAAGCUAACGCAUUAAGUGCUCCGCCUGGGGAGUACGGUCGCAAGGCUG